UUUUUUUUAAUUUGGUCAUUGUUCUUUUGAUUUUUUUAUCCUUUUGUUAAAGUUGUUUUUCUUUUCGAUUUCACCUUUCAAUUGAAUAUUUUUUUUUGCUUUGUAAUUUUUUUUUUAUUUUUAUCCUUUCUCUUUGAAUUGCUAUUUUUGUUUUUGGUCCUUUUUUUAAUUGGUUUUUAUUUCUAUUUCAUCAUUCAACGUUUGAUUUGUUGGGGAUUGAGUUUCAUGUUUUUUCUAUGUAUGGUGCUUCUGG
RNAcentral lists this long non-coding RNA (253 nucleotides) under Populus trichocarpa (black cottonwood). Its description in RNAcentral is "long non-coding RNA (PTRI_LNC001223)". Lineage: Eukaryota; Viridiplantae; Streptophyta; Magnoliopsida; Malpighiales; Salicaceae. The record is from RNAcentral.